Molecule: unclassified non-coding RNA, 323 nt
Filed under: uncultured fungus
Lineage: Eukaryota; Fungi
Description: partial contains small subunit ribosomal RNA, internal transcribed spacer 1, and 5.8S ribosomal RNA
Rfam family: Eukaryotic small subunit ribosomal RNA (bases 1-73)
Source: RNAcentral
UCAAACUUGGUCAUUUAGAGGAAGUAAAAGUCGUAACAAGGUUUCCGUAGGUGAACCUGCGGAAGGAUCAUUAACGUAUCUCUGACGGGGAGGGCGUGUCCCCGCUCCGGACCGAAAGGCCGUGCAGCGGGUGUGCCCGAUCCGCUCAACCUUUACAAACCCACUGUGCACCUUUACGGUGGAGGGUGUCGGUGAGAACCGCGCCCGAAGCCGGAUCACAAACACAAGUUCAAAAGAAUGACAUGCGGACUCUGUGCCGCCUAACAAACUUAACAACUUUCAACAACGGAUCUCUUGGCUCUCGCAUCGAUGAAGAACGCAGC